Molecule: transfer RNA, 65 nt
Filed under: Anolis sagrei (brown anole)
Lineage: Eukaryota; Metazoa; Chordata; Lepidosauria; Squamata; Anolidae
Description: partial tRNA-Asx
Source: RNAcentral
AUGAAUGAGCGGGCCUUGAUCCCACGAAAAAUUAAUUAACAGCUAAUUACCCAAACCAGCGGGCU